UUGGAAUCCAUCUCAGUAGGAGGUAUAAGG
Molecule: non-coding RNA, 30 nt
Filed under: Mus musculus (house mouse)
Lineage: Eukaryota; Metazoa; Chordata; Mammalia; Rodentia; Muridae
Source: RNAcentral